CUACUGGUACCUUGACGGUACCUCACCAGAAAGCCACGGCUAACUACGUGCCAGCAGCCGCGGUAAUACGUAGGUGGCAAGCGUUGUCCGGAAUUAUUGGGCGUAAAGCGCGCGCAGGCGGUCCCUUAAGUCUGAUGUGAAAGCCCACGGCUCAACCGUGGAGGGUCAUUGGAAACUGGGGGACUUGAGUGCAGAAGAGGAAAGUGGAAUUCCACGUGUAGCGGUGAAAUGCGUAGAGAUCAGGAAGAACAUCGGUGGCGAAGGCGCUCUGCUGGACCAUAACUGACACUCAGGGACGAAAGCUAGGGGAGCGAAUGGGAUUAGAUACCCCAGUAGUCCUAGCCGUAAACGAUGGAUACUAGGUGUUGUCUGUAUCGACCCGGACAGUGCCGUAGC
RNAcentral lists this ribosomal RNA (396 nucleotides) under uncultured Caryophanaceae bacterium. RNAcentral's name for it is "bacterial SSU rRNA". It matches the Rfam family "Bacterial small subunit ribosomal RNA", at positions 458 to 852 of the family's 1533-position model. The record is from RNAcentral. Lineage: Bacteria; Bacillati; Bacillota; Bacilli; Caryophanales; Caryophanaceae.